Molecule: ribosomal RNA, 285 nt
Filed under: uncultured prokaryote
Description: partial 16S ribosomal RNA
Rfam family: Bacterial small subunit ribosomal RNA
Source: RNAcentral
UACGUAGGGGGCUAGCGUUAUCCGGAAUUACUGGGCGUAAAGGGUGCGUAGGUGGUUUCUUAAGUCAGAGGUGAAAGGCUACGGCUCAGCCGUAGUAAGCCUUUGAAACUGGGAAACUUGAGUGCAGGAGAGGAGAGUGGAAUUCCUAGUGUAGCGGUGAAAUGCGUAGAUAUUAGGAGGAACACCGGUGGCGAAAGCGGCUUUCUGGCGCAUAACUGACGCUGAGGCUCGAAAGCGUGGGGAGCGAACGGGAUUAGAUACCCGGGUAGUCCCUGAGCGGGCUGG